This 468-nucleotide ribosomal RNA is filed under the name uncultured bacterium. RNAcentral describes it as "partial 16S ribosomal RNA". It matches the Rfam family "Bacterial small subunit ribosomal RNA", at positions 28 to 507 of the family's 1533-position model. The record is from RNAcentral.
GACGAACGCUGGCGGCGUGCUUAACACAUGCAAGUCGAACGGAAAGGCCCUGCUUUUGUGGGGUGCUCGAGUGGCGAACGCGUGAGUAACACGUGAGUAACCUGCCCUUGACUUUGGGAUAACUUCAGGAAACUGGGGCUAAUACCGGAUAGGAGCUCCUGCUGCAUGGUGGGGGUUGGAAAGUUUCGGCGGUUGGGGAUGGACUCGCGGCUUAUCAGCUUGUUUGUGGGGUAGUGGCUUACCAAGGCUUUGACGGGUAGCCGGCCUGAGAGGGGGACCGGCCACAUUGGGACUGAGAUACGGAGCAGACUCCUACGGGAGGCAGCAGUGGGGAAUAUUGCACAAUGGGCGGAAGCCUGAUGCAGCAACGCCGCGUGCGGGAUGACGGCCUUCGGGUUGUAAACCGCUUUCGCCUGUGACGAAGCGUGAGUGACGGUAAUGGGUAAAGAAGCACCGGCUAACUACGUG